This 1174-nucleotide long non-coding RNA is filed under the name Parus major (Great Tit). RNAcentral describes it as "lncRNA (ENSPMJG00000006531.1)". Lineage: Eukaryota; Metazoa; Chordata; Aves; Passeriformes; Paridae. The record is from RNAcentral.
GCACAAUCCUUGUCGAGGAGCCUCCUGUCCUUGUGGCAGGAGCCCUCAAGACCCGAGAGCAGGACUUGCUGUCCGGCAGUCUUGCCAGGACUUGAGUCUUGCAGGUGCCUUCCAGGCACGACUACAGGAUUUGCUACCUCAGAGCUUUUCUGAGGCAUAUCUCUUGCAAGAACCAGUAAAUCCAGGCAUUGCCAUGGACCAGCGACCCCCAAGAGUUCCCAAGCUGGCCUGGGUGAAGGAGAAGGAGGAGGAAGAAGAAGGCCCUGGAGCUGUGCCGGCACAGGAGACGGAAGAGGUGCAGGAGUUCCAGGCGCUGGAGGAGGGAUGGGAGAGUGUUGGAGAAGAUCUGGAGCAGCGACCCCCGAGAGUGCCCAAGCUGGCCUGGGUGGAGGAGGAGGAGGAGGAAGAGGAAGAAGGCUCUGGAGCUGCCCCAGCACCAGAGACGGAAGUGGUGCAGCCGUUCCAGCCGCUGGAGGAGGGUGAGUGGCAGAGCUGGGCUAUGGGGCUGGUGCCUGCUAGUGCCCAUCUUGGCCCUAUCCCUACCCAUUGCAUCCCACUGCAUCCCAUCUCAUCCCAUCCCACCCUAUCCUGUGGAGACACACACAGGGACAGGACAGAAGAGGGGCUGGGGCUUGCCCACAAGCAGUGGCUGUGCUCAGUUCCCUGGGGCUGUCCCUUCCUGGGGAUCACAGGGCUGGGCAGCGUUCUCCAGCCGCUCCUGCAGCCCCUCAGCUCUGGCUGCUCUUGCUCUUUGCCAGAUGCAGCCACAGACCAGACACAAGAGCAGGACCUUGCCGGUGGCCUCUUCCGCAGAACAGCGCAGCUGGUUUGCAACUUCAUCAGGAGAAUUCGGGAGGAAGGGACCAGCGCCAUGGCGGCUGGGGUCAGACCAUAUUCAUACAUCUUCAACACCAAGGCCACCGCUGCCCUGCUGGAUAUGCUUGUAGAGGAGGGUUUUUACAGUCAGAAGCAAGUGCCUGCCAUGGUGAGGUACAUCCACCAGUGGCUCAUGGCCAAUCAGUUCUCUGAGCACAGGCUGAACAGGACCCUGCUGGAUCUGACCGAGGCACAGCCCACUGACGUGGUCAUUGCUCUCCUGCGUGUGGCCCCAACGUAUGACAGGUACGGGGCCCACGUGCCCAGAGGGCUCAGGGCUCCCCAGCCCAUCACCCUG